GUCCCGUUCGUCUAGAGGCCUAGGACACCGCCCUUUCACGGCGGUAACAGGGGGGGUUCGACUCCCCCCCUACGGGAUA
This 79-nucleotide transfer RNA is filed under the name Vibrio sp. JCM 18905. RNAcentral describes it as "tRNA-Glu". It matches the Rfam family "tRNA". Rfam says of the family: Transfer RNA (tRNA) molecules are approximately 80 nucleotides in length. Their secondary structure includes four short double-helical elements and three loops (D, anti-codon, and T loops). Lineage: Bacteria; Pseudomonadati; Pseudomonadota; Gammaproteobacteria; Vibrionales; Vibrionaceae. The record is from RNAcentral.